GUUUAAUCAGAAAAAUAUCAGUUAAGUGUAAACCUGACCCGGGAAUGGAAGAAAAAAUGAUUUUUUUUAAUAACAUGAAAGCUCUUAUACUUAAUCAAGUUUAACAAGGGAAUGUGGAUCAUUGAUGACCCAUUCAAAACCUACCCAAAGACAAAAUGAUACAAUUUGAUAAGAAAAAUGGCUUGAUUGGGCCAGUUCAAAACAGAGAAUAAAUGCCGAAUUUAUGAUCCAUCCAUGUUGGAUCAAAAGGA
This 251-nucleotide unclassified non-coding RNA is filed under the name Hevea brasiliensis (rubber tree). Lineage: Eukaryota; Viridiplantae; Streptophyta; Magnoliopsida; Malpighiales; Euphorbiaceae. The record is from RNAcentral.